UUUCAUACGAACAGCGAUUCGAUCAAGUGAACAUAAGUCAGAACAUUUGCGGAAUAAAAAAGUGGGAGAAUCUGAUAACAAUUAUCAACAAAUGUUCAGGGAUGUUCAGCUGCAGCAGCAGUAGCAGCAACUGAGGGAGGAGCUCCUCCCUCAGCAACGAGAGGAUCACCGACCGAGGGAGGAGCCCCUCCCUCAGGUGCCAGAGAUGGAAUCUGGC
Osmia bicornis bicornis is the source of this 217-nucleotide long non-coding RNA. RefSeq lists it as uncharacterized. Lineage: Eukaryota; Metazoa; Arthropoda; Insecta; Hymenoptera; Megachilidae. The transcript has 3 exons. The record is from RefSeq and is a predicted model, not a curated record.